This 1017-nucleotide ribosomal RNA is filed under the name uncultured bacterium. RNAcentral's name for it is "bacterial SSU rRNA". It matches the Rfam family "Bacterial small subunit ribosomal RNA", at positions 355 to 1375 of the family's 1533-position model. The record is from RNAcentral.
UGAGGAAUAUUGGUCAAUGGGCGAGAGCCUGAACCAGCCAAGUAGCGUGAAGGAUGACUGCCCUAUGGGUUGUAAACUUCUUUUAUAAAGGAAUAAAGUCGGGUAUGGAUACCCGUUUGCAUGUACUUUAUGAAUAAGGAUCGGCUAACUCCGUGCCAGCAGCCGCGGUAAUACGGAGGAUCCGAGCGUUAUCCGGAUUUAUUGGGUUUAAAGGGAGCGUAGAUGGAUGUUUAAGUCAGUUGUGAAAGUUUGCGGCUCAACCGUAAAAUUGCAGUUGAUACUGGAUAUCUUGAGUGCAGUUGAGGCAGGCGGAAUUCGUGGUGUAGCGGUGAAAUGCUUAGAUAUCACGAAGAACUCCGAUUGCGAAGGCAGCCUGCUAAGCUGCAACUGACAUUGAGGCUCGAAAGUGUGGGUAUCAAACAGGAUUAGAUACCCUGGUAGUCCACACGGUAAACGAUGAAUACUCGCUGUUUGCGAUAUACUGCAAGCGGCCAAGCGAAAGCGUUAAGUAUUCCACCUGGGGAGUACGCCGGCAACGGUGAAACUCAAAGGAAUUGACGGGGGCCCGCACAAGCGGAGGAACAUGUGGUUUAAUUCGAUGAUACGCGAGGAACCUUACCCGGGCUUAAAUUGCAGAUGAAUUACGGUGAAAGCCGUAAGCCGCAAGGCAUCUGUGAAGGUGCUGCAUGGUUGUCGUCAGCUCGUGCCGUGAGGUGUCGGCUUAAGUGCCAUAACGAGCGCAACCCUUGUUGUCAGUUACUAACAGGUUCCGCUGAGGACUCUGACAAGACUGCCAUCGUAAGAUGUGAGGAAGGUGGGGAUGACGUCAAAUCAGCACGGCCCUUACGUCCGGGGCUACACACGUGUUACAAUGGGGGGUACAGAGGGCCGCUACCACGCGAGUGGAUGCCAAUCCCCAAAACCUCUCUCAGUUCGGACUGGAGUCUGCAACCCGACUCCACGAAGCUGGAUUCGCUAGUAAUCGCGCAUCAGCCACGGCGCGGUGAAUACGUUCCC